Molecule: ribosomal RNA, 431 nt
Filed under: uncultured Pseudomonas sp.
Lineage: Bacteria; Pseudomonadati; Pseudomonadota; Gammaproteobacteria; Pseudomonadales; Pseudomonadaceae
Description: bacterial SSU rRNA
Rfam family: Bacterial small subunit ribosomal RNA
Source: RNAcentral
CGAGGCAACGCGAAGAACCUUACCAGGCCUUGACAUGCAGAGAACUUUCCAGAGAUGGAUUGGUGGCCUUCGGGAACUCUGACACAGGUGCUGCAUGGCUGUAGUCAGCUCGUGUCGUGAGAUGUUGGGCUAAGUCCCGUAACGAGCGCAACCCUUGUCCUUAGUUACCAGCACGUUAUGGUGGGCACUCUAAGGAGACUGCCGGUGACAACCGGAGGAAGGUGGGGAUGACGUCAAGUCAUCAUGGCCCUUACGGCCUGGGCUACACACGUGCUACAAUGGUCGGUACAAAGGGUUGCCAAGCCGCGAGGUGGAGCUAAUCCCAUAAAACCGAUCGUAGUCCGGAUCGCAGUCUGCAACUCGACUGCGUGAAGUCGGAAUCGCUAGUAAUCGUGAAUCAGAAUGUCACGGUGAAUACGUUCCCGGGCCUU